GAGAGAGAGAGUUGAACCAGCUUUGUAGGAAGAUUUUGUCUUGGAGUAAGGCCAUCACGGGCCCCAAGGAAACUCCAUCAGAAUUGGGAGCAAAGAAUGCGGCGACGGGAGUGAUGGUGUAGAGGCGGUGAAAGGUGGGAGGAAGACGGUGGUCGGAAGUGAGGGAAGAGUUAAGAAUGGAGUGAGAAGAAAGAAGUGCAAGGAGACGAUCUAUCAUUGAGGCUGCUUCUGGGUUACUGCAACCAAUCUUUGAUGCUAUUUCCUUAGCAGACACCUUAGCACCUUCUCCGGCUUCUUUCAGCACCUCAAAGACUCCCAGCUCCGUCGCCGAUUGCACUGCCAUGGAAAGGACCACGGAAGUCGCAAGCUGCAUGGCACGGGAGAAGCUUUCUGCAUCUUCUUCCUUCCUCUUCUCUUCAUCAUUCAGCGUUGAAUCUGGAAGGCUUGCCAUCUCCACUUCAACCUGCAAUCGUUCACCAACUUCUCCACUAUAUAUUAAACCAUCCAUUGAAAACCUUUAUACUUUAUUAUUCUGAGAUACUUAUAAUAAUUUGGGUGUUGAUAUGUCAACACCACAAUAAAAAACCAUUCGUUGACAAAUCAAUAAAAUAAUAUUUUAAUUAUAUUUAAUUUAUUUUAAAUUUUCAAAUAUUAUUAUAAUAUAAUGUUAAGUAUAUGCUUUUUAUUGUGUGUAGGAUAAUAUUUUUUAGUUAUAAGGCAUUAUUUUAAAGAGACAACACUAAUAUUUUGAAGGUAAUAAAUAACAUUUUUUAAUAAACAUUGUUUAUGGUGGUGUGGUGGCUAGCUAAGAACUUUAUUAUGAGUCUAAAUAAUUGAUUAGAUGAUUGGCAAAUUAAUACAAUUGUAAAUGGAAAACCCAAUUUCCUUAUAAAUAACACCUCUGACCUUUGAUGGAGCUUGAGAAGUUUGUUGCAUGGAUUAGGGUUUUUGAUAUAUAAAAGCUUUUCAAUCCUUAUAAAUUAAUAUAAUGAAAUAUGUAGUAGCAGAAAUAGUUGUAGACAAAAUAAUAUUAUCUGAAUGCGGUGUUUUAGCUAGGUAUUCAGUGAAAUCAGACCGCCACAAUUUAAUUCAUUUUGAUGGAAAAUUGUGCGUACAACAGUUUCCAAUGAGAUAGUAUAUCCCUCAAAGAUAGACUCAAAUUGAAGAUCAAGAAUUAUUGAAAAUCAAAAUUAUGAUUUAACUUCAAAAUAUUUAUACUUACUUAAAUAAAUCUUAAUUUAUUUCCUUUUCUUGCAUCAAGUUAGCAUGGAUCAAAAAAAUUGUAUAAAAAAAAUAGACUUUUAGUUCAAUUCUUUCCUUAUCAUUAUUUCUUCUUUUCAUAUAUUUUUCUAAUUAUUAUUCUUUAUUUUUUUUUAAAGUUUCCUCUGCCUCACACUUUUCCAUUCUUUUGUUUAAAAUUUCUUGCUUCAUUUGUAUUUUUUUUUUCAAAACCAAAUUUUAUUGUGUGUGUUCAAGAUCACUUUCAUCUUUAUCAUAUUUUAAUUUAGAAAAUUAUCUUCUUCUUAUUUGAAAAUCUCACAAUUCCUUUUUCUCUGUUGAUAUUUGAUUUUUUUUUUAUCUGUAAUGAAUUAAUUAAAUAAAAAGAAACUCUUUCCAACAUGUAUACAUAGAACUCCUAAUAAAACUACCUACAAUACAUGCAUGCUAACUAAGAGACACACCACUUAGUUCCAAAAGAGCUAUGUAAUUACAACCCCAAAACCUGCUUCAAACCAACAAACAAAACCUGUUAGUACAUAUAGGCAUAGCUUGCUACCAGCCCACCAAGCAAGCCACUAACACUCUAACCAGAAAGCAAAACAACAACAUCUCAGACACCUUCCUCGGUAAGCAGAAACCAGAUGAGAAAGCAGUUGCUACUCCAUGAUCUCUUCUCCCUUACAUUCUAUACAAUAUGGCAUAUCUGCACCUUUGUAACCAGCUUCUACCAGGAAACCCUUAGUAGAAAAACAUCAACAAGAUAAAGCUACACUUUUAUAGAAUCUACAUAACACAUUAAACAGAGGAAAAACAUGUGUGCUUGGCUGUGAUUGACCACCAGCUCACUGCUGCAUGACCUGAAAAAAAGCAAUAGACUAUACCAGAACCUAUACCUGUUCAAUUCACUCUGCACCGAAAAACAAGAAACAACUCUUUUGGUCGUUAGACUUGCUCUCCACUCAUGGCAGACAACUAUACCAAACACCACCGCAUGCAGCAUCAAGCUUUAAAUUACUGCAUCAGAGUAAUAAAAUCUAUCCUCCAGAAAGCACUAAUCCGAACCAUUUCCUGUCUAUACCUUCCUUGACCUGCAGAAACCUGUAUGGUCAGGACUACACCACACAACACCCAGCACAAGAACCACCCUCUUAGCACUCUGCUACCAACCCCUGCAGCACUAGAGCCUGCACCACGGCAGUGGGUCUUGGACCCUCUUUUCUAGACACAACUCCUCUAAAAUAAAAUCCAAAGAAACACUUUCUACCCUGCUUAAGCUCACACCCAGUUACUUAAAGCUUUUAACGCAUAUAGACGGAUUAAGUACCCAAUCCACAAAGAGUAGUUGAAGGUAUAUGUCCUAUGCUUCAUCCAUAACCACGACUUGAGCUGAGUCAUAUGAAAAACCUCUUCAACAUUUACAACUCCCUCCUUAAAAAGAAUAGAGUUUCUCUAGUUAAUUACAAGAUUAUGCAGAUAUAUUUUCCAGAUGCACACACACUGAUAUUAGAUUGAAAAACAGUGAAACACAAAAACAGCAAACCUUAAUUCCAAAUAAUGUGAUUUAGGUUCAGUUAAGGGCUUGACAAUUAGUGAGGCAAUCUAUCACACUCAACUUGUUUUACUAGCCUUUAACAGAUUAUCAGUGUUCUUAUUGAAACCAGACAGUUUUCCAGAAAUUAAGAACAGUAUGCACAGCGCCCAGAAAGAACACAUUUAUUUUCAAUUGAACAGAUUUAUUUCUUUGCUGUUUUAUCAAUUAUGCAGAAACGAAAUUGCAGAGAGUGAGAGAGAAUGAACACAAGCAGUUAUACUGGUUCACUCAACUGAGCUACAUCCAGUCUUCACCAAAACCAGGUGGAAAUCACUAAAACACAGUACAACCAAGUACAAUUCCCACUGUUCUUGAAACCUACAAGAACUUAGGUACUCUUGCUGAAAAAACCUAUUUCAGCUCACACACACUCUCCAAGAAAACCUAUCAAGAAGAGUGUUCAACCAAACNNNNNNNNNNNNNNNNNNNNNNNNNNNNNNNNNNNNNNNNNNNNNNNNNNNNNNNNNNNNNNNNNNNNNNNNNNNNNNNNNNNNNNNNNNNNNNNNNNNNNNNNNNNNNNNNNNNNNNNNNNNNNNNNNNNNNNNNNNNNNNNNNNNNNNNNNNNNNNNNNNNNNNNNNNNNNNNNNNNNNNNNNNNNNNNNNNNNNNNNNNNNNNNNNNNNNNNNNNNNNNNNNNNNNNNNNNNNNNNNNNNNNNNNNNNNNNNNNNNNNNNNNNNNNNNNNNNNNNNNNNNNNNNNNNNNNNNNNNNNNNNNNNNNNNNNNNNNNNNNNNNNNNNNNNNNNNNNNNNNNNNNNNNNNNNNNNNNNNNNNNNNNNNNNNNNNNNNNNNNNNNNNNNNNNNNNNNNNNNNNNNNNNNNNNNNNNNNNNNNNNNNNNNNNNNNNNNNNNNNNCUUUAGAAAAGAACAGAUUUAUUUUUAUGCAGUAAACGUGUUUUUUUGAAAAAUAGUUUAAGAAAACUUAUGCUUGUUCUUAUCACAUGGCCAGUGGUUAUGAGGUGAGUUACUCAGCAAAAAGCCCUCUUAAACAACCUCUAAGCACUGCCUAAGACACACUUAAAGCAAAACAAAAAUACACAUGAAAUGUACAUAAAAGUCUUCAUCAAACACAAUCUUGAAGGGGCAGCAACCAUCUUCAACAAUCUCCCCCUGUUUGAUGGAGACAAAUCCCCAUAGCUAACCUCAUAGCUUUGUUGCUUUAAGAACCUGCACUGCACCAGAUUUUAAACCAGAAAAAAACAGCAGUAUUGCAUAACAUGAGAAAUGGUUUUAAGGUGCAGAAUUAACUCCCUGUUUCAGCUAGCUUCACCUAGCAUGGUGAGCUAUUUUUCAGCAGCUAUUUUUCUCCCCCUUUGGAUUCAUCAAACAGCAUAUAAGCAUAGGGAAAACAAAAAUGAAACAAAAACCAUAACCAUAAUAGUUCAGAAAAUAAAACCAUAUUGUUCAGCAUUACAGACAUUUGAAAACUGAUAAAGAAAGCAUUAAAAACAGAAGACUACUGGUCUGACACAAAUAGAUGUUGACAUGAUCCCUCCUUGGUCUGACACAAAACACUUUAGUUAGUUGAUAAAAAUAAUCAUAUCCAAUAGUUCAACUUCAAAUUAAAAUUUUGUAUCUAUUUGAUUAUAUUGGUUUAGGUCUCAAGGAUUUGAAGAAUUUUUAACUUUUUUUUAACUAUUACUUGGAUAAAAAGUAACUUUCAAUAGUUUGAUUAUUGAAGUUGGUAGUCUGUGUACUGAAAUUAAAUAGAUAAAUGUAGAUGUGUAGAAGGACUCUUGAAAUUGAUGAUGAUAUGUAAUGUAACACUACCAGAAAAUCAUGAAAUAGUAACCAAUUUUAGAAAAAAAAAAAUAAUUAGUUGUUAUAGUGACUAAAUUAGAGACCAUUUUAGAAACUAAAAAAAACUUUUGCCUUCUAAAUUAGUUUCUAUUAUGGUUAUAUAGUUUAUAAAUUGGUAUUUAAUUAGCUACCAAAGUUUUUGGUAUCAAAUUAGAUUCUAAAUAAUUAGUAGUUAAAACCUUGGUAGCUAAUUAAAUACCAAUUUAAAAACUAUUUAACAAUAAUAAAAACUAAUUUAGAAACGAAUUUUUUUUAGUCUCUAAAAUGGUCUCUAAUUUAGUCAUUAUAACAACUAAUUAUUUAUUGUUUCUAAAAUUGGUUUCUAUUUCAAGAUUUUCUUGUAGUGUAAGGUUCAAAUUGAGUAUUAUUAUUAGUAACGCUAUAAGAAAAUAAUUAAAUAUCAAUUAAUUUAGAUAAAAAAAUUAAUUAUUAUAUUGAUUAAUCUAUAAAUUAAAAAAUUAUUAAUAUUUACAUUAGUUUCUAUUAGUAAUAAAAGUUUAUAAAAUAGUUUUUAAAUUAUUUAACCUUAACUAUCAAGGUUUUAGUACUAAUUACUUAAAAUUAUAAAUUAGUCAUUCAUUUAAUUAAAGACUAUUUUAUAAUCUAAAGUAGUUAAUAACUAAAAUCUUGGUAGCUAAUAUUAUAUAUCAAUUUGAAAAUUAUAAAUUUUUAUUGAUAAUAGAAACUAAUUACUAAUAAUUUUUUAGUUUAUAAAAUAAUAUCUAAGUUAAUAAUAUAAUGACUAAUUGUUUUUUAUCUCUAAAUUAGUUCUUAUUUAAUGAUUUUUUUAUAGUGUAAAAUAUUCUUUAACUAAGUCCAAAACUAUGUUUAACCCUAGUUAGGACUAUGAAAUUUAUUAGAAUUGAUUUUCGAUUGGUUUUUAACUUUAUGCACAAAUUGUUGUUUUCUCCAUAUCUUAUUUGAGUGUUGAGAUUGCUCUAGUGAUGCUCAAGUGAUAACUUUAAUCUUAAGUGCACAACAUCAGUUUGAGUAAGAGAGAGAAAUUAACGAUUCUCUUUUGUCUUGAAAUUUAUCACUCAGAUGAUGAUUGGUCGCUAAAGUGAUGGUCACUUUAGCAAUGGAGUUUUGUAGGUUUGACUAAGUUUUUUAUUUACCUUUUCUUAAAGGGUUUAUCAUUAAAGUGUUGCUUUAAAGUUCAAGCCGUGAUAAAUAUUGAUCAAGCAACAUAUUAUAGCUUGUGUGAGAAAGAUUUGCUUUAAUUUAGAUACUACACAGAGCAUGAGUAAGAAGUUUAAGUGAUAAAAACUCUUUCAAACCACAUUACACAACUAACUUCAGUGAAGAAACUCUGGUGACAUAUUUUCAUGUGUUUUUUUAUUAGUUAGUUAAGCAUCUAUCUUCACUUAAAUGAUGUUGCAUUGGUUUAGACAAUUAUUGAAAUUGUUAUUAAUAAAAUACCAAUACAAGAAAAUUUGUUAUUUCAUACUGGAUUUGGAUUCAUAUAUAAAUUUGCACCUACCUUCAAAUUUUACCAACAAAUUAUUACUCCAGAUAAAAUUGAGUUACUUUGUUAAUGAAAAUGCCGUUAUUAGUUUUAUAGUUCAACCAAUAUUUAAACUGUCACUAUUAGUGUUUUAAUGACAAUAUAACAAAAAAUUAUCAUCCUAAAUGGACUCAAUAAUGAUGAAUAAUAAAGCAAAAUCUGUCAAAAAAAUAAAAAAUAAAAUUUUGAUGGAACACUAAUAAGUACGUUGACGACCAUAAAGUUCGAGAGUCAAAUACUAUGCAUAAACAAAUUGUAGCAAGACUUAAGAUUUUGGGAUCGACUAUAAAUGAAAAAAAUCUUUAUAAAAUUUAUUUUAAACUCAUCAUUAUCUGAGUAUAGCUCAUUUUAAAUGACCAAUAAUACCAUAGCACAACAAGUUGGUUCAAGAAACACUAGUACAAAAUAUGAAAAUAAUGACCAUUUAUUUAGUGCGGCUUUGCGCUUAAACGCAUUUGCAAAAAACGCGGUGACAUUUUUGAAAUUAAAUUGUUUUACAAAUGCGGUUCUAGAGUAAGACCGCAUUUGUAAAUCAAUUCAAAUUAUUUACAAAUGCGGUCUUUACUAUGACCGCAUUUGUAAUUAAUUUCACAUUGAUUUACAAAUGCGAUCUUACUCUAGAACCACAUUUGUAAAACAAUUUUACCGUACAUUGAUUUAUUGAUCUGUGUACUUGGUAGUUUGAGUACUGAAAUUAGAUGGAUUCUUGAAAUUGAUGAUGGUAUGUAAAGUAAGGUUCAAAUUGAGUAUUAUUAUUAAUAAUGUUAUAAGAAAAUAAUUAAAUAGUUAUUAAUUUGGAUAAAAAUAAUUAUUAUUAUAUUGAUUAACUUGAUACUAUUUUAUAAAAUAAAAAGUUAUUGGCUACAUAAGUUUUUAUUAGUAAUAAAAGUUUAUAAAAUAGUUUUAAAUUGAUAUUUAAUAUUAACUAUAAAUAGUUUAUAAAGGUUUUAAUAAUAAUUACUUUACAUUAUAAAUUAGUCACUUAUUUAAUUAAUUAAAGACUCUAAAAUAGUUAGUAACUAAAAUCUUGGUAGCUAAUAUUAUAUAUCAAUUUGAAAAAUAUUUUAUAAAUUUUUAUUAAUAAUAGAAACUAUUUACUAAUAAUUUUUUAGUUUAUAAAAUAGUAUCUAACUUAAUAAUAUAAUGACUAAUUAUUUUUUAUCUUUAAAUUAGUUGUUAUUUAAUUAUUUUUUUGUAGUGUAAAAUAUUAUUUAACUUAGUCUAAAACUAUGUUUAACCCUUGUUAGGACUAUGAAAUUUAUUAGAAUUGGUUUUCGAUGAGUUUUGAGCUUUAUGUAGAAAUUGUUGUUUUCUCCAUAUCUUAUUUGAGUCUUGAGAUUUUUCGACUCACACGAUAACUAUAAUAUUAAGUGCACAAUAUCAUUACUUGAGUAAGAGAGAAGAAAUAACAAUUCUCUUUUUCUCUUGAAAUUUAUCGCUCAAAUGAUGAUUGGUCGCUAAAGUGAUGAUCACUUUAGCAAUGGAGUUUUGGAGGUUUGACUAAGUUUUCAUUUACCUUUUUCUUAAGUUAGAGAAGGGUGUAUCAUUAAAGUGUUGUUUUAAAAUUCAAGUAAUGAGAAAUAUUGAUCAAGCAACAUAUUGUAGCUUGAGUGAGAAAGAUCUUGAUAAAUAAUUUUGCUUUAAUUUAGAUAGUACACAAAGCAUGGGUUAGACGCUUAAGUGAUAAAAACUCUUUCAAACCACAUUACACAACUUGAGUAGUGGUUCACAUUUAUUUUAUUUAUUUUUUAUUGUUGAUAAAAAAAAAUACAACUUGAGUGAAGAAACUUUGGUGACAUAUUUUCAUGUGUUUUUUUAUUAGUUACUUAGGCAACCUAUCUUCACUUAAGUUGAUUGAUUUAUACUGGAUUUGGAUUCAUAUAUAAAUUUUCACCUACCUUCAAAUUUUACCUACGAAUUAUUAUUACAGGUAAAAUUGAGUUACCUUGUCAAUGAAAAUGUCAUUGUAAGUUUUAUAGUUCAAUCAAGACUUAAACCGUCACUAUUAGUGUUUUAAUGACAAUUUAGCACAAAAUUAUCAUCCUAAAUGGACUCAAUAAUGAUGAAUAAUAAAGACAAAUCUGUCAAGAAAAUAAAAAAGAAAAAUUGAUGGAAUGCUAAUAAGUACGUUGACCACCAUAAAGUUUGAGGAGUCAAAUACUACUCAUAAACAAAUUGUAGCAAAACUUAAGAUAUUGGAAUUGACUAUGAAUGAAAAAAUCCUUAUAAAAUUUAUUUUAAACUUAUCAUUAUCUGAGUAUAGCUCAUUUCAAAUAACCUAUAAUACCAUACUAAAAAAUGGAAUGUAUCAAAUUGCACAACAACUUGGUUCAAGAAAGAACAAGGUUUAAAAAUUAGGAAAAGUAACUUAGUUUAUUAUGUAAGUCAUAAAAAAAGUUAAAGAACUAGAAAAAAAUUUAUGAGAAAACAUGAUAUAGGUAUGUUAAAGGUUAAUCAAACAUCUAAAAAUCUAAAAGACAAUAAUCGUCAUUUAUGUGAAAAACUUUCAUAUUUUGAGAAGGAUUACUGAAAACAUAAAGUUUUGGUUCAAAAGAAGGUAAAACUUAAUGUUUACCUAUACUAAUCAAAUUUAACUAAAGGAGGGAUUACUUAGUGUUUAAAUCAUAAGUUUAAAUAAAAUAUUCUUUAUAAAAAAAUAAAGUGAUGAAAACUCUAGUGGAAGCGGUCUGAUCUUAUCUUUUACAUAUUUUAAUUUUUUUAAUUUUAUUUUAUUAAUAUGAAAAGUGAAUAUAACAUAAUAUAUUACACACCAUGAGUUUAUUCUGUUACUUUAAAAUGUAUAAAAACAAACAUGAAACACAUAAACAAGCAAUUAGAAAUAACACUAAGGAAAUUAUCUCAGUUAAAGAAAUUCAUGAAAUAAAAACUAAUUUUAAGAACAAAAAAUAAUUAGUUCGUUAUAGUGAUUAAAUUAGAAACAUUUUAUAAAUUAAAAAAACUUUUGGUUUCUAAACUAGUUCCUAUCAUUAUUAAAUAGUUUUCUCUAAUUAACUACCAAAGUUUAAACUACCAAUUAUUUAGAUUUUAAAAUAUUCUUUAAUUUAGUCACUAUAACUCCCAAUUUUUUUUUUAUGUCUUACAACCAAAGUAUCCUAGGUAUAUGUGUUUGUUGAUUUUUUGGUGAAUUGUAUUUGUAGAGAUAAUGCAUGUAUAAGGGUUGGAACACUCCUAAAAUGUUUCAUUUAUUUUAUUUUAUAUAUUCACUGAUAAAAAAUAUUAAUUAUUUUUUAUCUUUAAAAUUGAUUUUUAUUUCAUAUGAUAAGAGACAGAUUCUUCUACUUGAUGAACUCCAUAACCUCUAAAAUGUUGACGUGACAUUCAUAUCUGAUGCCACUGAAUCCAGCUGCUCUUGCCAAUUCCAUGAACUCUUCUUCACAUCGCUCUUUACCUCCUGGGUUCUGAGUCAUCAUCGCAACAUCCAUUUGUGCAACCCCCUUAUAAGCAUUAUUAGUCUCUGGUAACUUUGGAAGAAUUGACUCCACAACUAUCACCUUUCCAUCAUCAGGAAUUGCAUCAUAGCAAUUCUUCAACAGCUUCACACAAUGUUCAUCACUCCAGUCAUGAAGUAUCCACUGUACAAUUACUUAAUGUCAAACCCCAUUGAAUAUAACUCAUGCAUCAGUUUGAACUAAACUCUUUUUUCAACCAACUAUUAUUCAUAUAUUUCCCUCCUCACUGACACUUUACCUUCAUAAAUAUGGCGUCUCCUUUAGGCACACUUUCAAACAUGUCUCCCUCAACGUGUUCCACUCCUGCAAAAUCUUAUUGUCUUGUAAAAUCUCAAAGUUGACCAAAUAAGUCUUCAAAAGACGAAAAGAACAUAUUUUUUUUUUAAAUUUAGAUUGGAACGUGUAAGGGUGAUACCAGGAUAGGAAGGAGCAUCUCGAAUGACAUGAGGCAAGUCGAAAUUGAUGCCAUGAAUAUCAGGGUAUUUAGAAGUGACCAAGUUAAUGUUGAUUCCAAGACCACCACCAACAUCCACCAGUGUUUUUAUGCCCUCAAAACCUUUGUAGGAUUCCACAACCUUCUUCAUCACCAAAGUGGUGUGAUUGAUCAUUGCUGUGUUGAAAGCCUUAUUGAAUCUUGAGUCCAAACGUGGAUAGUCAAAAGCAUGAGUGCCAUGAACCCUGUUGAAUGGAAUACCCCCCUCCCUAAUUGCAUCUUUCAGCUCACUCCUAAUAAUGUAUAAACAAACUUAUUUCACUUGAGCAAAUGAAGAAACAUUUACUUCCAAUCACAUAAUUUAGCAGAUCGCAUACAAUCAUAAUGCUGAAAUAGCAAACCCUGUUUUGACUCAAUCAUGUGGCUUUAUUCUUUUAUUUUAUCACAACACUUAUCACCCGCAUUAAAUUUGAACUAUUGUAUCCCUUUGAUUAGCAAGAGAGAGAAUGAAAGAUUGCAACAUCAAGGAGUCAAAACUGUGACCAACGACAAACAAAUUGCACACAGACCAUGACAAAGUUUGUAGAGAAUCAUCACUAGUUUUUUUGGUAUAAUUUAAGAGUGAAGUGUUGGAUUUCUUUAAGAUUUUACUUUAGAUCAAUUGAAGGUUUUGAUCCUUUAAAAAAAAUAAUAUAAUAGUUGAAAGAGAGUGAGUUGAACCAGCUUUGUAGGAAGAUUUUGUCUUGGACCAAGGCCAUCGCGGGCCACAACGAAACUCCAUCAGAAUUGGGAACAAAGAAUGCGGCGACGGGAGUCAUGGUGUAGAGCCGGUGAAAGGUGGGAGGAACACGGUGGUCGGAAGCGAGGGAAGAGUUAAGAAUGGAGUGAGAAGAAAGAAGUGCGAGGAGACGAUCUAGCAUUGAGGCUGCUUCUGGGUUACUGCAACUAAUCUUUGAUGCUAUUUCCUUAGCAGAAAGCUUAGCACCUUCUCCCGCUUCUUGCAGCACCUCAAACACUCCCAGCUCCGUCGCCGAUUGCACUGCCAUCGGAAGGACCACCGAACCUACAAUCUCCAUGGCUCGCGAGAAGCUUUCUGCAUCUUCUAUUUCUGAAUCUGGAAGGGUUGCCAUCUCCACUUGAACACCUGCAAAUCACUCACAACUUCCACACCUUAAACUAGUAUAUAUUUACACACUACUCUUCUUCUUUCCCUUACGAAGACAAGAAAGAGAAGAGAAGGGAAGAAAAAAGAAGAGGUCUAUAUAUAAAGGGAAAAAAUCUUAUCCUUAACCUUCCUUUUUCAGUGCUUUUUUUUAAGGUAUUUUUUUACAAAUUAAACAAUUUUCUUCUUUAAUUUUAUAGUUUUGAAUAGGCUGCUAUAUAUUAACACAUUCAACCCUAAAAACACACAUUUCCCGUUAUAAUAAGUUAAUAUUUUAUUUUAUUUUUUAAUUUAAUAAUAUUAUUAUAUUAUUAUAAACAGUGUCAAAUGUAAUUUUUUUUACUGUUUAUGUGUUCAUGCAAUAUUUUUCUCUUUUGAAUAAACAUAUUUCAAUGAUAAUAAAUAAUUUAAAAUUAAUUUCUCUGAAUUUAAAAUAAAUGAUACUUGUUUAGCUAAAGUAAAUAUAAUGUGUAUUUUUUAUAAUAAAAAUAAUUAUGAAUAAUUACUGCAAUAUUUAUUAUUUUAGUGAAACUAUCUAUGGUAACUCUCUUGUAAAACAAACAUGACUUACGAAUCAAUAUUGAUCAUCAUUUUUUAGCCAUGAUUUUUAAGCUACAUUUUUGUGAAAUGACUUUUAAAAAAAAUGCAUCACGGGAAAAGUAGUGUGACCUAAAAUAAUAAAAAUAUGGAAAUUUUUCUAUUUUGAAAAUAGAAGGAAAUUUUUUUAGAAAUGUAACUUACAAAUAUUAUACAUCAUGUGUCAUAAAAGGUGGAUAAUUUAAACCACAGAAUUUUUAAUGUGGCUUAUAAUAAUUAUCAAUAAACAAUAAAAAAAUUGUGAACUAAAAACCUCUAUCUUAUAGUUAAAAUCUUUAAAAUUAAAUCUAUGAUAUUUUUUUUUUUAUGUUUUUAAAUAUUAUACGGAGGUUUUGAAACUUAUGAUAUUGUAUGGAGAUUCUUAAACCCAUUAUAUUUAACCGAGGUUCUAAAAGAUGAAAUUAAAAAAUCCUUAAAGAACAUGUUUUUUUUAUGAAUGGUUUAGCGUGUAACUUUAGAUAAAUAACUUAAUAAAAAAUUUUACCUCGAAUAAUGUAAAAAGAAACCACUUUUUUUCUUAUAGUUUUUAUAUGUGUUUUCAUUAAUGAAUAUAUAUAUUUUCUUUAAUAAUAUAUUGUAAAUUUUUUGUUGAGUUAACUUUACAAUAUGUUAUAUAUAGGUUUCUUUUGAAUUAUUCAGAAGUUUAUAUUGAAAAGAAUGGAAUAAAAAUUUGAGAAGGAAGACCAUCAUGAUUCAUACAAUUAACUACUGUCUGAAAAUAAUUUUUAAAUAUGUUUUUUAAUUGAAACCCGAAAAAUUAUCAUAAGUUUUUGUGAUGUCAUAAAAGUAUAAAAAUGGAAUAUCUUUUCAAUCUAAUGUAAAAAUAAGGCAGAAUGUUAAUUAUAAUAUUGGAAAUGAUUUUUACUAUUUCUUCUGUAAUUGGCUAGAUUUUGUAUAAAUUGUCAAAAUACUCCUAAUUAAUCAAUUUAAGAAGUCUAAAAUUGAUUUUUAGUGAGAAUAUUUUGAUACUUUUUAUCUUUAAAAGUUGAAGUCAAGUUUAUCAGAAUGAUCAUGAGUACUUUGAUUAUUUUAUACAAAAUUAUAUAACUAUAGUAAAAAUUUUAUAAUUAUGUAAUAUUGUAGAUCAUAUUAUAAGUGUAAAAUAAAGUUCUGAAUAUUGUGCUUAUUGUUAUCACUGUAAAGUAAAGUAAUAAACUAAAUUACUGCUGUUCAAUUUGACCGUUCUGAAAAUAAAAUAUAUUACCCUUAUGAUCAAAUUGAUAAUACUGUUAGUGAUGAUUUGCAAAUUUUUAAAAAAAAAUCCUUUAACUCUUAUUUGUAAAGGAAUCCAUCCAUUAUUACCCUGUUAGGGAUAAUACUAUGAGUUAAAUCCACUAAAAAACGAUCAUUUACCUUCCACGGUGAUUUAACUUUCAUAUGUAUGUGUGAGUUCACAUUUAACUUUCAUAUGUAUGUGUGAGUUAAGUGUGAACGUGAUUUUUUUAGACCAAAUCCAUGCAAAAUUGAUGCAAAAGUAUAUUUUUUUGGAAAUCUGACGCAUAAUAGACGUAAAUAUAGAUUUAAAUAAAAAAUGGACUAUAAUUUAUAUUUAUUUAAUGUAUAAUAUGGUAAAAAAUAUUAUAAUUUUUACUUGUUUAUUGUAUUUAUUUUAAUUUUUUUAAUAAUUUUGGUAUAUGUUAGUUAAUAAAUUGAUUACGUGUUUAUUUUUAAAUUAUUUUAAAAAAAUAUCUUAAACAAUUUAAAAAGAAUUGAAAAAUGUUAAAAAAUAAUAAUUGAGUAAAAGAAAAAAUGUAAUUAAAUUUAUAAAUGUUAUACAAAAUACUUAAAUUUUUUAAAAAUUAAUUAUUUUAAUUUAAUUUCAUUUAUAAUAAGUAUUUAGAUAUAAAUUAGUUAAAUUAAAUUUAUUAAAUUGAUUAAUAGUUUAAUUUAAAAUUAUUUAAAGAAUUAUCCUAUAAAGUUUAUAAAGAAUUGAAAGAUGUAGAAAAAUAAUAAUUGGGUAAAAAAAUACAUAUUUAAAUUUUUAAAAUAUUAUGUAUUUAUUUUUUGUUGUAUAAAUUAAAUAUAUGUUUUGUUCUAUAAAUGAAAUUAAGUUUUUUUUUCUAUAAAUUAAAAUAAAUUUUUGUUGUAUAAAUUGAAUUUAAUUGUUUUGUAUAAAUUAAAGAAAGUUUUUCUUAUAAAUUAUAUCAUUUUUUUAUACAUUAAAUUUAUUUAUUUGUUAUAUAAAUUUAAAAUAAAAUAAAUUAAAUUUUUGAAAGUUUGAAUAUAAUUUUUAUUAAAUUAUAUUUAAGCUACAUACUUAUGAAAAUUUUCAAGUGCCUCACAUUAAUAAUAAUAAGUAUAAUAAAAAUCAUAAUAUUACAAAAGAAUUUGUCUGGUUUAGUGGUUAAAGCUUAUUUGGUCACGGAAAAAAAUAAAUAAUCACUUGACAACUUAACUUUUAAGAGUAAUGUGAUUAUUGAAUUUUUUUUUUAAUUAUAAGAAAAAAUGAAAAUAUGUUUUUAUUUAAUUUAACAAAACUUAUUUUCUAAUUAGUUAUUUUGACCAUUCAAUACCCAAGUUUUUUUUGUUUUAUUGAUGAAUGUUCUUUUUGAAAAUUCUACUAUAUCAAAAUUCAAGUCUUUUUUUCUACUAGAGUCACUACAAAAAUUUAUUAUUUUAAUAGAGAUUUAUUCGUGGAGGUUUUUAUAACAUCUGGUAAUGGACACUGUUAGUAGAGGUUUCUUAAAUCCCUGAUAAACAUCAAUAGUUUUUUAAUAAGUCAAAGUAAAAUAUUUCAAUUUUCUUCCUUUCUCCUAGAGAAACAAUGCUCUCUAACGUCAACCCUAGGUUAUUUCUCACAUUUUUUGUUUUCAUUUCCAACUUUCAAAAUCCAACAAGACCCCAUUCUCUUCUUUCACUCUCUAUUUCGUCUUCUAUUUUCAUCCUCAUCUAGCAAUCAUCUCUUUCUCUCGCAUUAUUUUCAUCAUCAUCUUCUAUUUGACUCUGGCUCAGAUUCACUUUUCCAAGCCUUCAGGAAGAGAGUGGCAAUGUUGUAUUCCAGGAAGAGCGAGUCAAUAUAUAACUUCUUCUAUUUCAUCAUUCCAAACUAUGUACACAUACGAAGAAACUAAUUUCAUAUUUUUCUGAUAGAAACUGAUUGAAGGAAGAUUUGGUGAUGUAAUGGAGGAAGUCGUGAGGACUCACCAAGCUAUCAAGUAAGACAGAAAUCUCUCACUUAAUUUUAACCUCUAACUUUGACUUGUCUGUUUACUUAACAUAUGUAAUCUUUAACAAAAAUAUUAACAAGAAAAUACGAUAGAGUAACGUGUAUAGAGUAACGUGUAUAGAGUGAUGCAAUAAUGUAUUAGAGUAUUGUAUCAGUAUUUCCAUUGCAUAUUAGAAUUUAGUUAAUGAAACCCAGUUUUAACAAUGAGAGAUGGAAUUUGUGAAGAAAUGGUGAAUGAGAUUUAUGAAAAAAAAAGGAAGAAAUUGAAAAUGCAUUGAGUUAGUUUGAAUCUGUUUUGAUAUUUGUAUUAAUGUGUGAAAUGAAAGUCUCUAUAUUCUAAUGGAAGAUGAAGAGCUCUUUCUGUGGCAAUCAUGCUCCUAUUCUUCAAUAUCAUAAUCAUUUCCGACAAAGUUAUUAGCUGUAGUGGAAUAGUUUGACUUGCCAAGAUUGAAGCUCAUGUGUGAAUCAAUAUUUUGUAGUGACAUAUCUAUAUAUUUUGUUCCAUAUAUUCUGGUUCUUGCAAAUCGUUAUCGUGCUAAUGAGUUGAAGUCCAUCUGUCAAAAAUUUUGUGUUGAAAACUAUGAUGGUGAGAGUUCCUACUUAACUACUCAAAUUGAGUUUUCAGUUUAGAAUGUUUUAGCCUGAAACAUGGUUUCUGCAUUAGUUGUUAAUGUUUGGAAGUUGAUUCUCAUAUUCUUUCAUCAUUGUCUGUUGCAGCUGUGAAGAAAUCUGGUGGUUUGGAGUAUCUCAGGCAAAGAGGUGAAAGUUCAAAGGUUCACAUUUCUAAUGCUGAUAACAACAACAAUAAUCCAUUAGGCAUUACUUUUAAGAUUUGGAAUGAUCAAGAAAAUUAGUUGAUUAUAAAGACUAUGUACUCUUGAUAAAAAAAAAGAUAAUGUAUUACUUAGAAGGUACCAUGUUUCUUCAUUAUAUUAUUUUGUUGGGUAGUUAGUUGUAUUAAAUAUUAAUUUAUGUUUUCCUAUUUAGCAAAAAUAAAUUGAAUAAACUUGUACUGGAUUUAAUACUUUUACUUUUUGAUGCGAAUUAAAUGAGUUUACAAUGUUUAUGAUAUUCUCAUUAUUAUAACUUUUAUGAAAUAAGUUUAUUAUAUUCUCUAUGAACGUAGAUCCAUGAAGGAACAAGAAAAAAAAUCAUAAUUAGAGGUAGGUACAAAACUUUUGUUCUGCACGGAAACAUUUUCCAAAAAUAUAUGGGAUUAUUAUGAGUCAAGUCUUGCACAAUUAUUUGAGGUUCAGAACAAACUCUACAAUGUAAGACUUGAUUAUUUUCAUUCAAAAAAUUAUCUUGAUGAUGAUAUAUAUAAGUGAUGAAGUACCACAUACUAAUUCAAAUCUAAAACACAAUCACGACCAACUAGAUUUAACUUAUGAUAUAAACAUAUAUAUAUAUAUAUAUAUGCCUCGGUUUCAUCAGUACUUCAUCUCAAAAUAAUAGAUUUUUUAUUAUAAUAUUACUCAUUAUAUGAAUAAUAAUAAUAAAAAGACAAAUUGAAGGGUUAUUUUAUUCAAAAAUUUUAUUAUUUGUCACAUAUUUUUUAUAUAUCCACCUCCUAGAAAUAAUAGGAGUUUUCAAACUGCCGGAAAUAGCGGGAGUUUUCAAAAUCGUCGGAAAUAGUGAGGUUUUCAAACAGUUGAAAAUAGCGGGGGUUUUCAAAACAGUCGGGAAUAACGAAGGUUUUCAAAACUGUUGGAAAUAGUAGGGGUUUUCAAAUUGUCGGGAAUAACAGUAAUCACUUAGCGACGUUGAAUCUUUCAUAGAAAAAGCAAACCGCGAGUAAUACACUUAACAUGGGUUAAAACUGCAAAAAAUAACCCAUUAAAAUUAAUUUAUUUUUGUAGUGAGUAUGUUUUUCUAUAAGAGUAUUUUAAGGGUAUAGUUUUGUCAAGAGUAAUUUUUGUUUGUAACAAGUAGAAUCAGUAUUAUAAAUAGUUUUUCUUUUCCAUUAUAAUCAAAGAUUUACCUUUUCAUAACUUCUGUAAUAAAUUUUCAUUAAAUAGUAAUGUAGAGUGCAAAAAUAAAAUUUUAUAUCUGAUUUAGAACAAUAUUAAAAAACCUUAUGAUAUUUGGUACAAUAUUCUGAAUAACAAAAAAAUAUUUUAUUUCUUAUAACAAAAAUUAUAAUUUCCUAUUCUAACAAAUUUAAAAACUAUUUUAAAUUAAAUUUUUUGAAUAUUUAAAAAAAUUAGAGAAAUUUGAAUUUGAAAAAAAAUAUAAAGAAUCCAAAUUUUACAAUUUUACCCUUUAAAUAACUAUUUUUUUUAAAAUUCAAAUAAUUCUUUCCAAUAAAAAAUAACCUACACAAUAAAAAAAAUUGCAUACAACAAACUUAAAAAAUUAAUUAUUUUUGUAAUAAUUUUUAAUAAAAAUAUUUUUAUAAUUUUAUUUCAAUAGUUAUUAUAAUAAUAAUUUUUUUAUAAAGAAAAAAAGUGUAGUUAUUCCUCUUUAAAAAAAUAUAUUUGUUUACUAUAUAAAAUAAAUAAUUUAUUUUUAUUUUAUUUUAAAAUAAUAAAUAAUUUUUCUUAAAAGUAAUUGAUAUAUAUGGAUAAUAAUUUCUACCUUAUAUAAAUAUUUUUAAAUAAAGAAUAAAAUAUAUUUUAAAUUCAUGUUUUUGUACAUAGUAAGAUUUAUAAUAAUAUUUUAAAUUUAUAUCACAUAUUAAUUAUAUAAUAUUUUAUAAUAAAAUAAAAUAAAAAUGCACUUAUAGGUCUGUGUUUUCAUUAGUUAGUAAUAAUAAUAAUAAAGAUAAAAGUAAUGUAUUUAUUCUAAAACAAUAUGCACAAAGUUUUUUCGGAUUCUGUAUAAAUGGUCAAAAAUUCACCUUUUUUUUCAUUAAAAGUGAUGCAUAUUACGAAAAUUUCAUUACUCCAAUCUCUUAUAGUCAAAUUGUUGGAAUGGAGUUCCAAUUUUGUCAUGGUUUGUUAGUGCUUUAUUAAUAUAAUUUUGGCAAAAAUUUGGUGUUUGAUACAAAACUUAAGAAUUAAAAAAUUACAAUCUUUUUCUAAAUUAAUUUAUGCACAAGAUAAUUUUAUAAUUUUGAAAAAUGUAUUUUUUAUUAUUUGAAAUAUUUAUAAAAUUUGUCCACUAUUUAAUACACGAAACAAUAAUAUUCUAGCUUUAUUUCUACGAAAAAUAAAUAUUAAAGUAUGCAAUCAAUCACUACCACCUUGAUUAAAAGUCGACUCAAUUUAUCAAAUAUCAUUAUUUACACUUUUAUUUCUCUCUCUAACAUUCUUUUGUUUUUAUUUCUUUAUCUAGCACCCUUUUAUUUUUAUUUUCCUACCUAUCACUAUUUCAAAAGUAAAAAAAUAAUAAUAAUUUUUUUUUUAAUUUUGAAUGGAUUAAAAAAAUAAAUAUUUUUAAUGUUUAAAAUAGUUAUUAAUGAAUAAAGAAAUGAGUUUCUAAAAAAUAAAAAUAAUAAAUAAUAAAUUAAAAAUGUUUAGUUUAAUUUUUUUUAAAUGAAGAAAAUGAAAAUUUAAGCCUACAACAACAUAAAAGUUGAAUAUAUAAACAUAAAUUAGUAUUUAUUUUUAUUAUUAUUUAUGAUGUAAUCAUGUUAAUUUCAAGUAAAAAAUAUAGGAUAUAAUUAUAAAAAAAAUCAAAAUCAAAAUCAAUUAAUAUUAAUUUGUAGUGGACACAUAGAUAAUAUUAUAGUGUCUACUCAUUUUUAAGCAUUAAGUAUAACAUUUGCAUUAAUUUUUUUUUUAGGAUUUUGCAUUUAGGGUAGACACUUCAAUAUUAUAUGGGUGUCAACUACUAAUUAAUACUAAUUUACUUUGUUUUUUUUUAUAAUUAUGUCCUGUAUUUUUUACUUGAAAUUAACAUGAUUACAUCAUCAAUAAUAAUAAAUAAAUACAAAUAUUCAUUUGUGUUUAUAGAUUCAACUUGUAUGUUGGUGUAGGGUUUAAUUUUUUAUUUUCUUCAUUCUUAAAAAAUAUUUAAACUAAACGUUUUUAAUUUAUUAUUAUUUUUUUGUAAAAAAUAUUUCUUUAUUCAUUAAUUAUAUUUCUAACUAUUUUAAACAUUAAAAAUAUUUAUUUUUUUAAUUUAUUCAAAAUUAAAAUUAUCAAUUUUUUUAAUUUUUUAAUUUAUUUUUUUACUUUUGAAAUAGUGUUAGAUAGGGAAAUAAAAACAAAAGGGUGCUAGAUAAGGAAAUAAAAACAAAAGGGUGUUAGAUGGGAAAAUAAAAAUGUAAAUAGUGUUAUAUGAGGAAUUGAGUCUCAAAAGUCUUCUCAUAAUUUAAAUUUAAAUUUGAUUUCUUUAAGCUAACUCCUUUAUGAAAUUUGUAUUAUUUUAAUAAUAUACACUACAAGAAAAUCAUCAAAUAGAAAUCAAUUUUAGAGUAAAAAAUAAUUAGUUGCUAUAGUGACUAAAUUAAAUAUCACUUUAGAGACUAAAAUAUUUUUUAGUUUCUAAAUUGGUAUCUAAUUAAUAUCAAGGUUUUAAUGACCGAACUGUUUUGUUCAGGUUCGUUAUUAUACUGAGUUAAAAACUUUGGUUAGGUGCCGACCAAACUGCUCAGGAGAUAAGGGAAUAUUUCAAUCACAAAUCCUACAAUAUUUGUUAAAGAAGUAGUAGAACACCAUUUAUCAUUUCAAAAAUUAAUAAAAGUACAUGUACCAAUAGUCUAAGAAAUAUAAUCAAGUAUAUGAGAAUAAAAUUGUAUAAUUCCAGGCCAAAGAUAUGAGGAUCUAUAAACCAUUCUAAACUCAUAUUUUGAUUUAAGAACCCUGACUUUCAGGAGAAAAGACAAAGGUCUGUUACUAUAAACAAAGUUCCAAGCAAGCUUAAGAAGAUAUAUAUUAUUUUCACGAUGAAGGUUAAUAAUCUUCAAACCUCAUUCUAAAAAGGAAAACAAAUCGUAACCCAAUUAGUGGUAGAUAUGCAUUUUUUCAAAAUAUCACCAAUCGAAAUAAAAUUUCGACACCCUUCUCAACUUGCUUAAAAAGUGAAACAUAUAUACCAUUUGUACACAUUAAAUAUAUAAACUAGAAAUUCAAUAAUCACCAUAUUAACCAACUAAAUCAACCCAUCAUGCUAAGAAAUAAGUUGUUCAAUUCCUUAUUCAGAAGGUAUUUGAACUUAUAUUAUUAGCUUCAUCAUUUAAAAAAAAAGUUCAUCUCAAAUAGUUUAACUCUAGAUUAAUUUUUUUAUAUUAUUUGAUUUUAUUAUUCCAUACGUAUAGAUUUGAAGAAUCUUUAACUUUUUGUAACUGUUAUUUGGAUAUUUAGUAACUUUCACAUAAAAACUUUUCAAAAUUGAAAUUGAUUUCUAAACUGUAUGAGUCUUAUUGUUUUAAAUUGGUGGCUUGAGUAUUGAAAUUAAAGAAAUAGACAUUGAGGUUUAGGGUUUUUUUGAAAUUGAUAAGAGUAUGUGAAGGUCAACUUGAGUAAUAUUAGUUAUUUUGAGCUUUAUGUUUUUUUUAUCAGCAAAUAGUAAUGAAAUUAAAUGAGACAAAUUCAGGGGUGGUCCAACCCUUAUACAGCAAAAUGAUGCUCACAAAGUACCUUUCCAUCUACAUAUCAACCAAAAAAAUAACAAAGAUCAACCAAUAUAAAAAACUAAAUUGAAUGCAUACAUACCAAGGGUUCUAGACACCAAUCAGAGAAUGAAAAAUUAGCUGACGGUAUUUUUGAAGAGAUCUAGGACCAAACCUUAAUCUGUGUCAGAGAGAACACUUCAGUAUGAUCAACCACUCCACCUUUAAAUAAACAGUUAUUCUUGUGCCUCCAUAUCUCGCUAACCAACGCAAUCCACAAGUUGCCCAUAAUAAGAUUAACUGAAGUGGGUGCAUCCAGAAUCUUGAAAUGUUCAAAAUGAGACCCAAGAUCCAUAAAAUCGACUGAUCUUAGUCCUAACCAGUCAUAACAAAGAUUCCAAAUUAGCCAAGCAACUCUACAUUCGCCGAACAAAUGAUUUGUUGACUCCUCUGACCUCCUACACAAGCAACACAAAUUACUCUCGACCUCGAUUCCUCUUCUCUUCAGAUUAACCCUACAAGCAACCUUGUUUUCAAUCACUCUCCAAGAUGUGACUUGAGCUGAGGGAAGCGCCCUAAUUUUCCAGAAAAAAUUAUAACUUCUUGAGUCUUCCUCACUUCCUUCUCCCCUUUAAAAACCAUAAGCGAACUUAACUGAAAGCUCUAUUGAAUCACUAUCCUUCCAAACACAUCUAUCCAUUGUUUCCAUCUCGAGCAUCUUAGUAGAGAUCAUCUCUAAGAAUUGACUUUCUUGCUCCUCUUCCCAAGCGAACAUACCCCUUCUCCACCUUAAGUUCCACUCCCAAGUCCUGUUCCCCCAUAUACCACAAUCACAUAAAUUUGCCUCCUUAUUAACAAACAAAGAAAAUAAUCUUGGAAAUCCAAUCUUCAAGGCUUCUGAGUCUAUCCAAUUGUCUGACCAAAACAUAACCUCUCUCCCGUUUCCGACCUCCAAAUUCAAACGAUCUUCAAACUUCCUUCCCCAUUCCUCAAACCUUCCUUAAAUCUCUCCACCACAUAAAGACCUUACUAUUAUUACCUCGCUGCUCCUUCAAACCUCUCUAUCCUCCAUACUUAGAUUCCAAUACCUCCCUCCACAACCCCUGUUUCCGUUUUCAAACGCCAAAUCCAUUUUUCCAUUAGAGCCAAAUUAAACUGCCUGACAUUCAUAAUACCAAGCCCUCCUUCUUCCUUGGAUUUACAAACCUUAUCCCAUGCCACCCAGACAAUCUUCCUUCCAUCUAACCCCCAUCCCCACAAAACAUUCAUCUGCAGGCUCACAAUCUUCUUUAAAACAAUAGGCAAAAUCUUGAAUAGAGAAAGAUAAAACAAAGGUAUUGACGACAAGACCGACUUAAUUAAGCAUAUCCUCCCCGCCAUCGAGAUAAAUCUUUCUUUACCCUGUUAACCACUUCAUCCCAUAACUCACCCCUCUUAUGACACCCCCCUACAGGCAUCCCCAAAUACUUAAAAGGAAUUCUCAUCAUCUCACAAUUUAGAAUUGUCGCAAAGUGGAGAAUCUCCGACUGCUCCAUCCCAAUCCCACCAAGUUUACUCUUAGAAAAAUUCACCUUAAGACCAUAUACCAAUUCAAAAUAGUUCAACGUUACCUUUAUAUUAAAAACACUUUUGCUAUUUGCCUUACAAUACAACAAUGUAUAUAUUGUUAUUGUUCUAUAAUUAAAUUUUAGCGUAAAGAUUGUUAGAGUGAUGCUUAAGCAAACUUUAACCUUAAGUGAAAAGUAUUAUUAUUUAAGUAAGAGAGACAAUAAUAAUAAUCUCUUCUCUUGAAAUUCAUUACUCAAAUAAUGAUUAAUUACUCAGUUUGAAUGUAAAAAUUAAGUGAAAAAUAUUAUUGUUUAAGAAAAAGAGACAAGAGAAAAAUCUUCAUAACAAACUUUAUUUUAAUCUUAAGCCACAUCACACAACUUUAUCACAGGCUUAAUAUUGACUUAUUUUUCAUGAAAAGUGUAUAUAACAUAAUAUAUUAGAAUGCAUAAAAGCAAACAUGAAACACAUAAACAAGCAAUUAGAAAUAACGUAUGAUGUGGUCUACUUGAAGAACUCCAUAACCCAGAAAAUGUUGACACGACAUUCAUAUCUGAUGCCACUAAAUCCAGCUGCUCUUGCCAGUUUCAUGAACUCUUCUUCAGAUCGUUCUUUACCUCCCGGGUUCUGAGUCAUCAUCGCAACAUCCAUUUGUGCAACCGUCUUAUAAACAUCAUUAUUCUCUGGUAUCUGUGGAAGAAUUGCCUCCACAACUAUCACCUUUCCAUCAUCAGGAAUUGCAUCAUAGCAAUUCUUCAACAGCUUCACACAAUGUUCAUCACUCCAAUCAUGAAGUAUCCACUGUACAAUUACUUAAUGUCAAACCGCAUUGAAUGAAGUUGGUAUAAGUCAUGCAUCAGUUUGAAUUAAACUCUUUUUUCAACCAACUAUUAUUCAUAUUCAAGACAAGAAACAUGUUCAUACUUUGUAUUAAAUACAUAAAAAAAAACCAAAUAAUGUUUGAAUAUUAAUGUUUAGAAAUUUAAACUAAUAAAGUCAAACAAAGGGGUUAGAGUUAUGAUAUUUUGACAUGGUCAAAACAAUAUUAAAUGCACAUGCUUAUUAAUUUAAUAAAUUAAUAUUUUAAUUAUAUUGAUUUUAUAUUUUAAUUUAAAAUAUUAUCAUAUUAUUAUAAGGUGUUAUGAAGUGAAUCUGUUUAGAGUUUCAAACCAUAUUUUUCCAAUUAAAUAGUAGUAUAUUUCCCAGACCGAGACUUACCUUCAUAAAUAUGGCGUCUCCUUUAGGCACAUUUUCAAACAUGUCUCCCUCAACGUGUUCCACUCCUGCAAUAUUAGAAAGUAAAUAGUACACACUAUUUAUGUUAUUGUCUUGUAAAAACUCAAAGUUGACCUUCAAAAGACGAAAAAACAACAUUUUUUUUUUAAAUUUUGCAGAACCACAGGAUUGGAAUGUGUAAGGAUGAUACCAGGAUAGGAAGGAGCAUCUCGAAUGACAUGAGGCAAGUCGAAAUUGAUGCCAUGGAUAUUAGGGUAUUUGGAAGUGAUCAAGUUAAUGUUUAUUCCAAGACCACCACCAACAUCCACCACUCUUUUUAUGCCCUCAAAACCUUCGUAGGACUCCAGAACCUUCUUCAUCACCAAAGGGGUGUUGAUCAUUGCUGUGUUGAAAACUUUAUUGAACCUUGAAUCCAAACGUGCAUACUCAAAAGCAUGAGUGCCAUGAACCCUGUUGAAUGGAACACCCCCCUCCCUAAUUGCAUCUUUCAGCUCACUCCUAUAAUAAUAUAUAAACAAAUUACUAGUACCAUACAGAAAUACAUGAAAUCUUUAAAAAUAUAAGAUACGGAAACAUAAAUCUAUAUCUAUAACUAUAUAUAAAGAUGAUUUUUCAUUAUAACCAUUUUUUGGUAUACACAAUUUUUUUAUGAUUCUAUCCUUAUUCAAUAUAUCUCAUCUUAUUAGUAUUUUAUCAUUUCAUAUAAAUUAUUAAAAAAAUAAAAUUAUUUAUUAAUUUGUUAAAUUAAUGUUAUGUGACAGUCUUUAUAUGUAAACUAACUUCUCACUCUUCCUUUACUUUCCUAUUAGGCAACAACAAAAAUAAAGGUGCUCUCACCCUCACUCCUCUAUUAAUUCCCACACCAAAUCUAGCAACAACAGAAAUAAAGAGAUCAUACUCUCACCCUCACUCUUCCAUUCUCACACCAAAUCUAACGUAUACAACAAAAUAACAUACAUUUAUUUUCAAUCACUCUCUCGAGUUCAUUUCAAACAACUCUAUUCUUUGGUAAAACCAUCAUUCUUUUUUAUCUACCAUCAAGUGAAUCUUAACAUUAACAUGAACAUCAUCACACUCUCCGAUUCCAAAACCACCCAUGGAAGAAAAUAAAAAACUUGAAGGAGAGAACUCAAACCAUAGGAGAAACAAAAUGUUGAUUAAUCAAUUUAUCAUUUAUUUUUUACAUAUUAUUUUUUGUUUUUCAAUUUUGACUCAUCCAAAAUUAUUGUUGUAUGUAUGUUAAAUUUUUAUCAUCAUAUAAGUUAAACAGAAGAAGGAAUGCGGAUACACAUACACUACAAUGCCUCUGAUUUCGCUAGUAUUAUAUAAUUUGACAAUAAAUACUUAUGUGCACAAGUAUCACUUAUUUUUAGUAAAAAUAUGUUUCUCAUUACUAGUUAAAAAGGAUUUGUUCCUUAUUUUUAUAACUAUAAUAAAAAUUUAUAUAAUAAAUUUGAGUUUUUAAAAAUUUAAUGUAUUUUUUUUUUUUAAGAUUGUAUUAGAACCAUACUAGAAUUGUCAGAAAUCCAACAAAUAUUUUUUGAAUUGAACACUUCACAUAUACAUAUUCUACAAACAUAUUCUACAAGUGUCAUAUACAUAUUCUACAAGUGUCGAUAUGUAAUACAUGUAUCGAUAUGCAUACCAUUUAAGAUACUUGUCCUAAACUCUUAGCACGUUAGAUAUACGAAUAUGUUUGUGAUGGAAAAGAACAUAAAAUGAUAAUAAUAGUUGAGAGAGAGAGAGUUUAACCAGCUGUGUAGAGAGAUUUUGUCUUGGAUCAAGGCCAUCACGGGCCCCAACGAAACUCCAUCAGAAUUGGGAACAAAGAAUGCGGCGACGGGAGUCAUGGUGUAGAGCCUGUGAAAGGUGGGAGGGACACGGUGGUCGGAAACGAGGGAAGAGUGAAGAAUGGAGUGAGAAGAAAGAAGUGCGAGGAGACGAUCUAGCAUUGAGGCUGCUUGUGGGUUACUGCAACUAAUCUUUGAUGCUAUUUCCUUAGCAGACAGCUUAGCACCUUCUCCCGCUUCUUUCAGCACCUCAAACACUCCCAGCUCCGUCGCUGAUUGCACUGCCAUCGAAAGAACCACUGAACUUGUAAGCUGUAUGGCACGCAAGAAGCUUUCUUCAUCUUCUGUUUCUUCUUCUUCCUUCCUCUUCUCUUCACCAUUGAGCCUUGAAUUUGGAAGGCUUGCCAUCUGCACUUCAACACCUGCAAUCACUCACCACUUUCUACGCUUGAAACUAUACUCUUCUUCCCUAUUUUUCCACAAUAUAUUGAACAAUCCAAUGAUCUUUUGAAUGCUUCUUUUGUAAGGUGCUACUCUUUGACCCGUGCAACACACGUCUUUUUCAUUUUUUACUUAACAUUAGUUAACAAAAAAUAAAUUUAUAUUAUAAGAAUAUUAUAAAGUAGUGUAUAAAAAUAACAUACAAUUAAAUGUAUAUUUUUAUGGGUAAAAUAAACUUGUAAAUAUAAUAAUAAGUAUACAGUUGUGGUAUGGUAGAUGGAAUGUAGGUAUUAGACGGUAUGAAACAUUAGACCUUAUAUUUCAUAAUUUGAAUUGUUUGAUUUGUUUUUUUUUCUAUAUUGUUUAUAUUUAAGGAUUAGGAUUAGGAUUUAGGAUUUAUAUUUAGCUAUGUGGAUGUAUAUUUUGAUAUUUGAAUAUGUUAAUUUUGGAUUUUGUAGUAUUUUCAUAUUGGUAGUAGACGAUGAAGAGAGAAUGCUAGUUUUCAUCUUUACAAAAUAGUUGUUGCUUAUACUCAAUCCAUUUUGUAUUAAGUGAUUCAAAGAUAUAUCUUAUAUGAACAUCAAAAUAGCGGAUAGGAAAUACUGACAUUUCUUGCAACCAUUACACUAAACAAGUUCUUUUAUCACAUUAUGAUUUUUAUUAUACUUACUAUCAUUAUUCUUAAUAUUAAUAUUAAUAAUAAUAUAAAUAUUAUUAAUAUUUAUAAUAUCAUUAUUUAUUAUUGAUUAUUUUUUAAUUAAAUUUUAAAUAAGUUACAUGUGGAUUGUAUUAUCGUAUGUAACUGUUAUUUUUAAUUAAAUUUUAAUAAAUUACAUACAAAUAAAGUCUGUACGUAACAUUUUUAAUUAUUUUAUAAUUAAAUUUGAAAUAUGUUACAUACGAAAUUUAUCCAACAAUUUUUUUUUAAUUUUCAUUACAUACAAAUUAUUUUUUAAUUAAAUUUAAAAUAAAUUACAUAUGAAUUUAAACUGUAUGUAACUGUUUUUUUUUAAUUAAAUUUUUAAUAACUGUUUUUUUUUAAUUAAAUUUUUAAUACAUUAUAUAUAGAUAUAAUUCGUAUGUAACACUUUUUUUUAUUUUUUAAUUAAAUUUGAAAUAAGUUACAUAAGGAUUUAAACUGUAUGUAACAGUUUUUUUAAUUAAAUUUUUAAUACAUUAUAUAUGGGUAUAAUUAGUAUGUAACACUUUUUAUUAUUUUUUAAUUAAAUUUAAAAUAAAUUACAUACAAAUUAUAUCCGUAUAUAACAGUUUCUUAUAAUUAAAUUUUCCAUUUUUUUUAAAAUUAAAAUUAAUGUUCCAUGGCUAUAUUAUUUUAGAUAUUCUAUAUCAUUAUAACUAGAAUAAGUAUUAUUUAUAUAGAAAGUGUGAGCCACAUUAAUUAUAGGUCAAUAUUUAUUUUAUUUUAAGGCAUUAUUUCCAGAUACGAUAUCCGAAGCUUGCGAUAGCACUAAUAUUUUAAGGUAACAAAUAACAUUUUUUUAAUUAGCAUAUGCGUAUAUGAUCUUGUGCAAGCUAGCUAAGAACUUCACUUUUUCCCUUACACUUAUCUUCAUGUUGUAUCAAGCAAAUUGGACCUAUAAUUUAUUUUCACAAAGUAAAAUGGUGCUUUGUUGCUACAUAGACCUAAUAAACAAUGGUAUUUGAUAAUAGUAGCCAAAGAUGCUUUACAGAAAAUGUUAAAAGAUGUGACCGGAAUGUUUAGAGUUAAGUGAUGUUACAUUGGUUUAGAUAAUUAUUGAAAUUGUUAUUAAUAAUUUUUUUUUACAUAAUGAUAAUUACCUAUAGAUUUAGAUUUAUAGAUAAAUUUAGACAUACCUACAAAUGAUUACUGUAGGUAAAAUGGAGUUACCUUGUUAAUGAAAAUGUCAUUGUAAGUUUUAUAGUUCAACGCCGACUUAAAACAUCAUUAUUAGUGUUUUAAUGACAAUUUAUCACAAAAUCAUCAUUUUAAAUGGAUUCAAUAAUGAUGAAUAAUAGAGACAAACCUGUUAUGAAAAUGAAAAAAAUAAAAUUUUGAUGGAAUAAGUAUGUUGACUACCAUAAGGUUAUGCAUAAACAAAUUGUAGGAAGACUUAAAACUUUGGGAUUGAGUGUGAAUAGAUUAUUUCAAAUCACCUAUAAUACCAUACUAAAAAAAUGGAAUAUGUCUGAACUGCACAAACAUGUUAGGUUUAGCAAAGAACAAGGUUUAAGUAUGUUAAAGGUUAAUUAAACAUCUAAAAAUCUAAAAGAAAUAGUGAAAAGGCAAUACCGGUCAUUUAUGUGAAAAACUUGUACAUUUUGACAAGGAUUACUCAAAAUGUAAAGUUUUAGUUCAAAAAAAAGUUAAAGUUAAUGUUUACAUACUAAUAAAAUUUAAUGAAAAGAGGGAUUACUUAGUGUUUAAAUCAUAAUAUUAAAUAAUUUAUUUUUUUAUAAAAAAUAAAGUGAUCAAAUUCUAGUGGAAGCGGCGUGAUUUAUCUUUCACAUCUUUAAAUUUUUUUUAAUUUUAUUCUUUAUUAAUAUGAAAAGUGAACAUAACAUAAUAUAAUACACACCAUGAGCUUAUUCUGUUACUUUAAAAUGCAUACAAGCAAACAUGAAACACAUAAACAAGAAAUUAGAAAUAACACAGAGGAAACAUGUGGUGUAGUCUACUUGAAGAACUCCAUAACCCAUAAACUGUUGACAUGACAUUCAUAUCUGAUGCCACUAAAUCCAGCUGCUCUUGCCAAUUCCAUGAACUCUUCUUCACACCGUUCUUUACCUCCCUCGUGCUGAGUCAUCAUCCCAACAUCCAAUUGUGCAACUGCCUUAUAAGCAUUAUUAGUCUCUGGUAUUUUUGGAAGAACUGCCUCCACAACUAUCACCUUUCCAUCAUCAGGAAUUGCAUCAUAACAAUUCUUCAACAGUUUCACACAAUCUUCAUCACUCCAAUCAUGAAGUAUCCACUGUACAAUCAUUGAAUGAGGUUGGUAUAAUGCAUCACUUUGAAUUAAACUUUCAACCAACUAUUAUUCAUAUAUUUCCCUCCUCACUCACACUUUACCUUCAUAAAUAUGGCGUCUCCUUUAGGAACAUUUUCAAACAUGUCUCCCUCAACGUGUUCCACUCCUGUAAUAUUAGAAAGUAAAUACUACACACUCUUAAUAUUAUUGUCUUGUAAAACUCAAAGUUAACCAAAUAACAUUUUUUUUUUUAAUUUUGCAGAAGCACAGGAUUGGAAUGUGUAAGGAUGAUACCAGGAUAGGAAGGAGCCUCUCGAAUGACAUGAGGCAAAUCGAAAUUGAUGCCAUGGAUAUCAGGGUAUUUGGAAGUGACCAAGUUAAUGUUGAUUCCAAGACCACCACCAACAUCCACCAAUCUUUUUAUGCCCUCAAAACCUUUGUAGGAUUCCAGAACUUUCUUCAUCAUGAAAGUGGUGUGAUUGAUCAUUGCUGUGUUGAAAACCUUAUUGAAUCUUGAGUCCGAACGUGAAUAGUCAAAAGCAUGAGUGCCAUAAACCCUGUUGAAUGGAACACCCCCCUCCCUAAUUGCAUCUUUCAGCUCCGUCCUAAUAAUGUAAAAACAAAGUUAUUGCCCGAAAGUGCCUCUCAAUUCAUAAAUCCUCUUGGAAACAUUUACUUCCAAUGACAUAAUUUAGGAGAUCGCAUAAAAUCAUAAUACUGAAUGAUGUGACUUUAUUCUUUUAUUAUCACAACAACCCGCAUUAAAUUUGAACUAUUAUCUCCCAAUGAUUAGCAAGAGAGAGAAUGAAAGAUUGCAACAAGGAGUCAAAAGUGUAAACAAUGUAAUUUUGUCCAAUAGUUGGUGAGUGGACCAACGACAAACAAACUGCACACGGACCAUGAAAAAGUUUGUAAGGAAUCAUCACUAGUUUUUUGUUGGUAUAAUUUAAAUUAUAUAAAUAUUAAUAUUUUGUUACAGUGUAAAGUAAGAAGUGAAAAUAUCAUGAGCAUAAUAAUUGAGAUACCAGCUUUGUAGGAAGAUUUUGUCUUGGCCCAAGGCCAUCAUGGGCCCCAACGAAACUCCAUCAGAAUUGGGAGCAAAGAAUGCGGCGACGGGAGUGAUGGUGUAGAGCCGGUGAAAGGUGGGAGGAACACGGUGGUCGGAAGCGAGGGAAGAGUUAAGAAUGGAGUGAGAAGAAAGAAGUGCGAGGAGACGAUCUAGCAUUGAGGCUGCUUCUGGGUUACUGCAACUAAUCUUUGAUGCUAUUUCCUUAGCAGAAAGCUUAGCACC
This 29691-nucleotide long non-coding RNA is filed under the name Phaseolus vulgaris (common bean). RNAcentral's name for it is "long non-coding RNA (PVUL_LNC001351)". Lineage: Eukaryota; Viridiplantae; Streptophyta; Magnoliopsida; Fabales; Fabaceae. The record is from RNAcentral.